CAAUAGCGUAUAUUUAAGUUGUUGCAGUUAAAAAGCUCGUAGUUGGAUUUCUGCUGAGAACGACCGGUCCGCCCUCUGGGUGUGUAUCUGGCUCUUUCUUGGCAUCUUCUUGGUGAACGUUGCUGCACUUGACUGUGUGGAGCGCUACCCAGGACUUUUACUUUGAGGAAAUUAGAGUGUUUCAAGCAGGCAUACGCCUUGAAUACAUUAGCAUGGAAUAAUAAGAUAGGACCUCGGUUCUAUUUUGUUGGUUUCUAGAGCUGAGGUAAUGAUUAAUAGGGAUAGUUGGGGGCAUUCGUAUUUAACUGUCAGAGGUGAAACUCUUGGAUUUGUUAAAGACGGACUACUGCGAAAGCAUUUGCCAAGGAUGUUUUCAUUGA
RNAcentral lists this ribosomal RNA (380 nucleotides) under uncultured eukaryote. RNAcentral describes it as "partial 18S ribosomal RNA". It matches the Rfam family "Eukaryotic small subunit ribosomal RNA", at positions 592 to 976 of the family's 1831-position model. The record is from RNAcentral.